This 465-nucleotide ribosomal RNA is filed under the name uncultured Klebsiella sp. RNAcentral describes it as "bacterial SSU rRNA". It matches the Rfam family "Bacterial small subunit ribosomal RNA", at positions 338 to 795 of the family's 1533-position model. Lineage: Bacteria; Pseudomonadati; Pseudomonadota; Gammaproteobacteria; Enterobacterales; Enterobacteriaceae. The record is from RNAcentral.
CCUACGGGAGGCAGCAGUGGGGAAUAUUGCACAAUGGGCGCAAGCCUGAUGCAGCCAUGCCGCGUGUGUGAAGAAGGCCUUCGGGUUGUAAAGCACUUUCAGCGGGGAGGAAGGCGGUGAGGUUAAUAACCUCAUCGAUUGACGUUACCCGCAGAAGAAGCACCGGCUAACUCCGUGCCAGCAGCCGCGGUAAUACGGAGGGUGCAAGCGUUAAUCGGAAUUACUGGGCGUAAAGCGCACGCAGGCGGUCUGUCAAGUCGGAUGUGAAAGCCCCGGGCUCAACCUGGGAACUGCAUUCGAAACUGGCAGGCUAGAGUCUUGUAGAGGGGGGUAGAAUUCCAGGUGUAGCGGUGAAAUGCGUAGAGAUCUGGAGGAAUACCGGUGGCGAAGGCGGCCCCCUGGACAAAGACUGACGCUCAGGUGCGAAAGCGUGGGGAGCAAACAGGAUUAGAUACCCGAGUAGUC